This 446-nucleotide ribosomal RNA is filed under the name uncultured bacterium. RNAcentral describes it as "partial 16S ribosomal RNA". It matches the Rfam family "Bacterial small subunit ribosomal RNA", at positions 354 to 796 of the family's 1533-position model. The record is from RNAcentral.
GUAGGGAAUAUUGGACAAUGGGGGGAACCCUGAUCCAGCCAUGCCGCGUGGAGGAAGACUGCCCUCUGGGUUGUAAACUCCUUUUAUAUGGGAAGAACCGUCCUCAUUAAUGAGUGACCUGACGGUACCAUAGGAAUACGCACCGGCUAACUCCGUGCCAGCAGCCGCGGUAAUACGGAGGGUGCACGCGUUAUCCGGAUUCACUGGGUUUAAAGGGUGCGUAGGCGGAUAAAUAGGUCAGUGGUGAAAUCAACGGGCUCAACCUGUUAACUGCCAUUGAUACUGUGUAUCUUGAAUAUGAGAGAGGUAGGCGGAAUGUUGCAUGUAGCGGUGAAAUGCUUAGAUAUGCUACGGAACACCGAUUGCGAAGGCAGCUUACUAUUUCGUAAUUGACGCUGAGGCACGAAAGCGUGGGUAGCGAACAGGAUUAGAUACCCCGGUAGUCC